RNAcentral lists this unclassified non-coding RNA (378 nucleotides) under uncultured Gammaproteobacteria bacterium. Its description in RNAcentral is "contains 16S-23S intergenic spacer region". Lineage: Bacteria; Pseudomonadati; Pseudomonadota; Gammaproteobacteria. The record is from RNAcentral.
UCCGGUUCAUCACCGGCAGUCUCCCCAGAGUCCCCGCCUUUACGCGCUGGUAACUGGGAACAGGGGUUGCGCUCGUUACGGGACUUAACCCAACAUCUCACAACACGAGCUGACGACAGCCAUGCAGCACCUGUCUUGUGGUUCCUUGCGGCACUCCCACAUCUCUGCAGGAUUCCACAGAUGUCAAGGGCAGGUAAGGUUCUUCGCGUUGCAUCGAAUUAAACCACAUGCUCCACCGCUUGUGCGGGCCCCCGUCAAUUCCUUUGAGUUUUAACCUUGCGGCCGUACUCCCCAGGCGGAGAACUUAUCGCGUUAGCUUCGAUACUAAUGGGCCAGGCCCACCAACAUCCAGUUCUCAUCGUUUACAGCGUGGACUAC